RNAcentral lists this ribosomal RNA (392 nucleotides) under uncultured bacterium. RNAcentral's name for it is "partial 16S ribosomal RNA". It matches the Rfam family "Bacterial small subunit ribosomal RNA", at positions 523 to 918 of the family's 1533-position model. The record is from RNAcentral.
ACACGUAGGGGCCUGACGUUGUUCGGAAUCAUUGGGCGUAAAGGGCGCGCAGGCGGCCGUCCAAGUCCGGUGUUAAAUGGUCGGGCUCAACCCGAUCAUGCGCUGGAAACUGGGCGGCUUGAGUCCCGUAGGGGAUGCCGGAAUUCCAGGUGUAGGGGUGAGAUCUGUAGAUAUCUGGAAGAACACCGAUGGCGAAGGCAGGCAUCUGGCCGGAGACUGACGCUGAGGCGCGAAGGCGCGGGGAGCGAACAGGUUUAGAUACCCUGGUAGUCCGCGCAGUAAACGAUGCGCACCAGGUGUCGGGCGGCAGCGCCCGGUACCGGAGCUAACGCGAUGAGUGCGCCGCCUGGGGAGUAUGCCCGCAAGGGUGAAACUCAAAUGAAUUGACGGGG